UUCCAGACUCCUACGGGAGGCAGCAGUGGGGAAUAUUGCACAAUGGGGGGAACCCUGAUGCAGCGACGCCGCGUGGGUGAAGGAGCACCUCGGUGCGUAAAGCCCUAUCGGCAGGGAAGAAACAGACGGUACCUGACUAAGAAGCCCCGGCUAACUACGUGCCAGCAGCCGCGGUAAUACGUAGGGGGCAAGCGUUAUCCGGAUUUACUGGGUGUAAAGGGAGCGUAGACGGCAUGGCAAGCCAGAUGUGAAAUACCGGGGCUCAACCCCGGGACUGCAUUUGGAACUGUUAAGCUGGAGUGUCGGAGAGGCAGGCGGAAUUCCUAGUGUAGCGGUGAAAUGCGUAGAUAUUAGGAGGAACACCAGUGGCGAAGGCGGCCUGCUGGACGAUAACUGACGUUGGGGCUCGAAAGCGUGGGGAGCAAACAGGAUUAGAUACCCCCGUA
RNAcentral lists this ribosomal RNA (446 nucleotides) under uncultured bacterium. RNAcentral describes it as "bacterial SSU rRNA". It matches the Rfam family "Bacterial small subunit ribosomal RNA", at positions 329 to 792 of the family's 1533-position model. The record is from RNAcentral.